UCCUGUGUUNCAUGCCUAACGUGNCGGAAAUUGUCCCUCGACGAGUCCUAAUUUUUACCUCUGCCAAAUUCGUGGUGAUAGGUUGACGUGGAAGUACUGCCCAUUCUCCUUGAGUUCCUUGCCCUUUGGCAUUGCAUUCAUGGCCCAUGGGUUGCUACUAGUUCCCUUUGGAUGCAGAACCUUUGGAUGGGUGCACAGUAAGUUGCUGUUGUUUACCCACAAAGUGUUCAUCGGUCGGUGCGUACGACAGCUGUGCCCGUCUUGGUUCCCUGUCUAACUUUUGUUUAGAUGUGGUCUCAUGCGGUGUCGGCGUCGCGAAGGAAUGCUACCUGGUUGAUCCUGCCAGUANUCAUAUGCUUGUCUC
This 364-nucleotide unclassified non-coding RNA is filed under the name Amorphospermum antilogum. RNAcentral describes it as "partial contains external transcribed spacer (ETS) and 18S rRNA gene". Lineage: Eukaryota; Viridiplantae; Streptophyta; Magnoliopsida; Ericales; Sapotaceae. The record is from RNAcentral.